Molecule: ribosomal RNA, 513 nt
Filed under: Meligethes sp. MJM-2013
Lineage: Eukaryota; Metazoa; Arthropoda; Insecta; Coleoptera; Nitidulidae
Description: partial 16S ribosomal RNA
Rfam family: Bacterial large subunit ribosomal RNA
Source: RNAcentral
GGCCUUUUGUUAUUUAUAUAAGGUCUAACCUGCCCAAUGAUAAUUUAUUUAAUGGCCGCGGUAUUUUGACCGUGCAAAGGUAGCAUAAUCAUUAGUUUUUUAAUUGAAAGCUGGAAUGAAAGGUUGAAUGAGAAAAUAACUGUCUUUAUUAUAUUUAAUUAGAAUUUUAUUUUUAAGUUAAAAAGCUUAAAUUUAAUUUAAAGACGAGAAGACCCUUUAGAGUUUUAUAAAAAAUUAAUUUUUGAUUUUUUAGAAUUAAUUAUAAUAAAAUUAUGUUUUAUUUGAUUGGGGCGAUUAAAAAAUUUAAAAAACUUUUUUUCUUAUUUAACAUUAAUUUAUGAAUACUUGAUCCUUAAUUUAAGAUUAUAAGAUUAAAUUACCUAAGGGAUAACAGCGUUAUUUUUUUUGAGAGUUCUUAUCGAAAAAAAAGAUUGCGACCUCGAUGUUGGAUUAAAAUUAAAUUAUGGUGUAGAGGCUAUAACUUUAGGUCUGUUCGACCUUUAAAAUUUUACA